Molecule: transfer RNA, 85 nt
Filed under: Felis catus (domestic cat)
Lineage: Eukaryota; Metazoa; Chordata; Mammalia; Carnivora; Felidae
Rfam family: tRNA
About the family: Transfer RNA (tRNA) molecules are approximately 80 nucleotides in length. Their secondary structure includes four short double-helical elements and three loops (D, anti-codon, and T loops).
Source: Rfam by way of RNAcentral
GCCUGGGUGGCUAAGUCAGUUAAGCAUCCGACUUCAACUCAGGUCACGAUCUCAUGGUUUGUGAGUUCGAGCCCCACAUCGGGCG